UGAAGCAAUCGGAAGUGGUUCCAAGAAAAGCCUCUAAGCUUCAGUCAUACGAGACCGUACCGCAAACCGACACAGGUGGGCGAGAUGAGUAUUCUAAGGCGCUUGAGAGAACUCGGGAGAAGGAACUCGGCAAAUUGGUACCGUAACUUCGGGAAAAGGUACGCCCCGGUAGCUUGAUUGGUUUACUCCAUGAGGGUGAAAGGGUUGCAAUAAACUGGUGGCUGCGACUGUUUAAUAAAAACACAGCACUCUGCAAACACGAAAGUGGACGUAUAGGGUGUGACGCCUGCCCGGUGCUGGAAGAUUAAAUGAUGGGGUGCAAGCUCUUGAUUGAAGUCCCAGUAAACGGCGGCCGUAACUAUAACGGUCCUAAGGUAGCGAAAUUCCUUGUCGGGUAAGUUCCGACCUGCACGAAUGGCGUAACGAUGGCCACACUGUCUCCUCCCGAGACUCAGCGAAGUUGAAAUGUUUGUGAUGAUGCAAUCUACCCGCGGCUAGACGGAAAGACCCCAUGAACCUUUACUGUAGCUUUGCAUUGGACUUUGAACCAAUCUGUGUAGGAUAGGUGGGAGGCUUUGAAGCGGUGACGCCAGUCAUCGUGGAGCCAUCCUUGAAAUACCACCCUGGUUUGUUUGAGGUUCUAACCUUGGUCCGUUAUCCGGAUCGGGGACAGUGCAUGGUAGGCAGUUUGACUGGGGCGGUCUCCUCCUAAAGUGUAACGGAGGAGUUCGAAGGUACGCUAGAUACGGUCGGACAUCGUGUUGAUAGUGCAAUGGCAUAAGCGUGCUUAACUGCGAGACUGACAAGUCGAGCAGGUACGAAAGUAGGACAUAGUGAUCCGGUGGUUCUGUAUGGAAGGGCCAUCGCUCAACGGAUAAAAGGUACUCUGGGGAUAACAGGCUGAUUCCUCCCAAGAGUUCAUAUCGACGGGGGAGUUUGGCACCUCGAUGUCGGCUCAUCACAUCCUGGGGCUGUAGCCGGUCCCAAGGGUAUGGCUGUUCGCCAUUUAAAGUGGUACGUGAGCUGGGUUUAAAACGUCGUGAGACAGUUUGGUCCCUAUCUGCCGUGGGCGUUGGAAAUUUGAAGGGGGCUGCUCCUAGUACGAGAGGACCGGAGUGGACAGACCUCUGGUGUACCGGUUGUCACGCCAGUGGCAUUGCCGGGUAGCUAAGUCUGGAAGAGAUAACCGCUGAAAGCAUCUAAGCGGGAAACUUGCCUUGAGAUGAGAUUUCCCAGAGCCUUGAGCUCUUUAAAGGGUCGUUCGAGACCAGGACGUUGAUAGGUCAGGUGUGGAAGUGCAGUAAUGCAUUAAGCUAACUGAUACUAAUUGCCCGUACGGCUUGUCCCUAUAACCUUAGCAGGU
RNAcentral lists this ribosomal RNA (1363 nucleotides) under Massilia sp. CCM 8734. RNAcentral describes it as "partial 23S ribosomal RNA". It matches the Rfam family "Bacterial large subunit ribosomal RNA", at positions 1586 to 2925 of the family's 2925-position model. The record is from RNAcentral. Lineage: Bacteria; Pseudomonadati; Pseudomonadota; Betaproteobacteria; Burkholderiales; Oxalobacteraceae.